GACGAACGCUGGCGGCGUGCUUAACACAUGCAAGUCGUACGGUAAGGCCCUUUCGGGGGUACACGAGUGGCGAACGGGUGAGUAACACGUGAGUAACCUGCCCACCACUUUGGGAUAACGCUAGGAAACUGGUGCUAAUACUGGAUAUGUGCUCCUGCUGAAUGGUGGGGGUUGGAAAGCUCCGGCGGUUGUGGAUGGACUCGCGGCCUAUCAGCUUGUUGGUGGGGUAGUGGCCUACCAAGGCGGCGACGGGUAGCCGGCCUGAGAGGGUGACCGGCCACAUUGGGACUGAGAUACGGCCCAGACUCCUACGGGAGGCAGCAGUGGGGAAUAUUGCACAAUGGGCGCAAGCCUGAUGCAGCAACGCCGCGUGCGGGAUGACGGCCUUCGGGUUGUAAACCGCUUUCAGCAGGGACGAAGCUUUUUGUGACGGUACCUUCAGAAGAAGCACCGGCUAACUACGUG
Molecule: ribosomal RNA, 465 nt
Filed under: uncultured bacterium
Lineage: Bacteria
Description: partial 16S ribosomal RNA
Rfam family: Bacterial small subunit ribosomal RNA
Source: RNAcentral